Oreochromis niloticus (Nile tilapia) is the source of this 213-nucleotide long non-coding RNA. RefSeq lists it as uncharacterized. The transcript is spliced from 4 exons. The record is from RefSeq and is a predicted model, not a curated record. NCBI's taxonomy places the organism in Eukaryota, Metazoa, Chordata, Actinopteri, Cichliformes, Cichlidae.
GCUCACUCCUGCAUCUCCGCCCACUCUCUGCUGAUCCCUGCCGGCCCGAGUGAAAGAGAUCUUUGGUUUUGCCUUUGCUGACUGCUGAUCUGAUCGUCUCAAGUCUGGUGACCUGCUGCAGAAGAUCCUCUCUCUCUAUCAUUAUAAGCAAUUCUGUCUAUCCUAUCACUCUCCCGACUCUAUCUAAUUUGACAGCCAUUCUAUCUUGUAUCC